UGGUGUGCAUAUGGAGAUCAGAGUCUGUUUUCUCCUUCCACUGUGGGAUCUGGGGAUCAGAUCAAGUAUUUAGGUUUGCAUGCCCUUACCCUGAGCCAUUUCGACAGCCUUCAGCUAAGACUUUUAAUAUGGGAUUGUUUGGAAAGAGAUUCCUUGCUCUGUUUAGAGCUCUAAGUGUCCCCAUUCCUAGUGGGCAGGGCUGCACGACCCCAUUGGAUAUACUGUGACUCUCAGGGCUCAACCCACUGGGUGGAGUUUCAAGGCCAGGUUGGGUUUAGGGCAGCAGUUCUCAACCCGGGGGUCAAAUGACCUUCUCAUAGGAGUCACUUAAGACCAUCUGAAAACAUAGCUUUUUACAUUACAAUUCAUAACAGUAGCAAAAUUACAGCUAAUGAUGUAGCAAUGAAAAUAAUUUUAUGGGGGGUCAGUGCAACAUGAGGAACUAUAUUAAGGAAUUGAAGCAUUAGGAAGGUUGAGAACCACUGAUUUAGGGUUUGUGCCUCCUGAAGGCCAAUCUGACCUCAGGUUUAGUUGAAUUAUAGACAUUUGAAGGAAUUGCAAGUAUCUCUGGUACUCUGUGAACUCACCUUGGGAUUUUCUGUUCUUGGGAUGUGCCAGGACUUAGGUGGCAAAGCAUAGCCAUUAGAAGUGCUUAAUUGUCAGAUGGAGCCCUAGGGGUGAAUGAUUGCUCAAAGCCUCAGGAUGACAGUGUGAUUUCUUCUGGCCCUUGUUCUCUACCCUGCCAUCCGUCCACAUCCUUCCUGGCUUGUUUCUCUGAACUCCACAUCUCUUGUUUUCUCUAGAAACAGAAGCCGAGCCUCUGGAAAGGGGACCUUUUCCUAGGACACUAGUCUGUUUGGGAGCUGCCAGGGGCAAGACUAUGGUAGCUACUUUCUCCAGACUUGGACAAAUCACCUGACAAAAGCACCCAAAGUAGAAGGGAGUUUUAUUCUGGCUCGUGGCUUGAGGGUACAGUUUAUCAUGGCCAUGGUGGAGAGAGCUUUAGGUGGGUGGUCACAAUCAGCAAGCAGAGAGAUGAAUGCUGGUGCUCCCCUCCUUUUUUUCUUUUUUCAGCCUAGGACUCCAGUCUGUGGAAUGGUGGUCUUACCACCUCAGUUUAACUUCUUUGGAAACAUCCAGAGAUACGUCCUCUAGUUGAUUGUAAAUUAUGCAAGUUGAAGAUUAAGAUUAACCAUCACUGGGGACACACAGUGUCUUCAGUGCAGCAGGUGUGUGUGUAUGAGGGGUUACCCUGGUGGCCCUUCAGGCCUCCACUCUGCCAGAAUCCAUGAGAGCAGGGCUCCAGGGUGUAAGCAAAUUCCAUUAGUCUUUUACCAGUUCUUUCAGCUUACCUGUUAGUAGGGCCAUCUCUGUUGAGAAGGCCCCAGACUUGCAGAAAAUCCACUUGCUAGACUGUUGCAGAAUGAGCCUUAGACCCUGGGCUUCUGACCUGUGCUGUGUAUUCAGUCCUUUCUGGAUGGCAUGGUGUUUCAGGGGGUUCCCUUGUGUUUGCUCAUCUCUGAGAUAUCUAUAAGGAGACCCAGGGGCCUGGUUCUGAGCAUCAGCCUUAGUUAGUAGAUUGACCAAGAACCGGAGCAGAUCCUAAAAGUGUUGCUUUACUACUGAUAGAAAGACACAAUGUCUGGAGCCUACAAGAGUUGCCUAAGCACUUACACAUGUGCUUAGAGCAAUUGUGCAAGGAGCCAAGGCUGUUGAAUCCUGGUGGCGCUUUUGACCUGCUUGAACUUUCUCCUCUUCCCAUCUAGCAGGAUUUAGAUGUUCACAUAUUUUUUUUGUUUGUUUGUUUUGUUUUGUUUUCUGAGACAGCGUUUCUCUGUGGCCUUGGAGGCUGUCCUGGAACUACUCUUGUAGACGAGGCUGGCAUCUAACUGACAGAGAUCCGCCUGCCUCUGCCUCCUGAGUGCUGGGAUUAAAGGCGUGCACCAAUGACGCCCGGCAAUGUUCGAACUUUUAAUGCAAAAAGUUUAUUUUGCUUGGGUCCAUUCCUUCACUGGUAUUAGAGCACACUUCUUUGGGAUUCCACUGUAUGCUGAAGACCACCUGAAACAUCCUGCCUUGUAGAUUGAGCAACUACUGUAUUCUUGAACCUUCUGUUGGAAGACAGCUAUUGUUGGACUCGCUGGGCCACAGCCUAUAUGGCACUCUAAUAAGUUUCCUUUAUACAUAUAUGUAUCCACUUGUUCAUUCUAUCAGUUCUCUUCCCAUACAGAACCAUGACUAAUGCAGAGGAGCUUGUGUUGUUGUUGGUGUGUGUGUGUCUGUGUGUGUGUCUGUGUGUGUGUCUGUGUGUCUGGGGUCUUUCUAAUUAGCUCAUCCUAGGGAAAGUAGCCCAGAGAUUCUCAUUUAAUAACCUAGGCCCUGGAAUUCCUUGAAUUCGCUGUGAGAGUCUUUAACCCAUUGUCGCAGUGGAACCUCUUAACUCCUAUAAUUAAAUCUUUACAGAGACUUUCAGAGAGGUCCUUCUGCUCUGCUUGGAUCAUAGACUCCAAGAAUUCACCUUCUUAACACCUGGCUGUGUAAGUCAUUUGCUUGAAGGUUGUGCAGCCUAAGACCUCCUCUGUGGAACCCUUUGUCGUUGGAUCUGUUCAUCUUCUGUUUGGGUGCUACUCACUCUUCUGUCCCCGUGGGUAGUGAGAUAAUGUGUAGUCAGGGGUAGAGAUAUCCAGGUGGGGUUCUCAAGUCUGUCACCAGCUAGGGGUGUGACCUCAGACAAAUGGUUCUACAUUUGUUCUGAAUCUGUGUGGGAAUUCUGGGGAGGAAGUGACAGGUGUGCCAUUUACUCCUGGAGUUGUUAUGUGCCUUCAGAGGCAGGUCCCUUCCCUUGUCUGGUCCUUUCACAGGCUCCUUGACCAUAAUUGGUCUCCAGAGUUUCUGCCUUGGGCAAUAUUCACUAAACCCAUGAUCUGACUUGUGGCUGUUAGGUUCCUGUCUUUCUGAGCUGAGUUAACUUCAGCUCUUUAAGAUGUCAGGAGAAGGAGUCCUUCUUAGUCAUUGUAAGAGAAAACAUUGUUGCAUGGCUGGAAUAGAAUAGAAUACAAUAGAAUGGAAUAGACUAGAAUAGAAUCUCCUACAUGUCUCGAGAGAGGGUGUGUGUGUGUGUGUGUGUGUGUGUGUGUGUGUGUGUGUGUGUAUGUGUGCUAGUGUGUGCCCAUAUGUGAGCAUGUGUGUGACAUGAAUGGGAGCCUGCCUGCAUCUUCACAGCUUUUUUAUACUUGCUUUGGCAGAGACAACAUCUUUCUAUCUUUGCAUUACUCCAGGGAAAAAAUGAAAACAGCACUUCAAGGCCAGUGUGGUGGUGCCGCUUUUAAUCCCAGCACUCUGGAGGCAGAGGCAAGAGGACUUCUGUCACUUCAAGGCUAGCCUGGUCUACAUAGCAAGUUCCAGGACAACUAGGAUUAUAUAUAGAGAGAACAUGUCUCAAACAAACAAAACACCGAUACCGAACACUGCAUGGGUUCGGUAUCAUCUAAGUAUAUGUGGAGUUAAGGCUGAUUUAGUGUGGGGAGAUAGUAACAGGAUACUGUGGGGAGGAAAACAGGGUUCUGAGGGCCACUGAAUGAUUGUUUCAAGACAUACUCCUUUCACCUGUCCACAUGGUACCAAAGGUGGGUUGACUGGUACAAGUGGUUAGGCAUAGGUGGACAUCUGAGGAGAAGAUCUAGAUGAUGUGAAGGAGGAGGCCAGGGAGUGGGGCCAGGCAAUGGUAGGCUGUGGUGGAAUCUUAGUUUCACCCCAGGUGUGAGGAAAGUGACUGGAGAGUUUUGAGGAGUGGAGUGACCUGAUCAUAGUCAUGUUCAGCAACUGACAGCUCUGCAUCUGAAUUCACCAGGAUAGAAGACACUAUAAAACUGUUCAUAAUGAACAGAAGACUGACUUCUCAUCAUUCCUUAAAUAAUGCAAUAUGACAGCUAUUUUCACAGUGCUUAUAUUCCAUUUGGUGUUCUAAGUAGUCUAGACCUGAGGGAGGAUAUGUGUAGGUUACUCUGGGGACUUUGAGGAUCUGAGAAUUUUGGUAUGCACAGGGGGUGUUAAGGCCAGUUCUUUGGCUACCAAUUGACAGUGGACUUUUAAAUGAUGGUUCCGUUUAUUGGAGUCCUAGGAACAGGUGGAUUAUGGAAUCAGAAGGAAAACUGGUCACGCACACCCUUAAGUUCUGAAGGUUAAAAUAAGCAGAGGGUGUCAGUUGGUGAAUGUGGGGCCUCUUUCCUCUUGUGGGUUUUCUCCUAAAUGUCCAGGCCCCUGGACACCACAAGGAGAUGGUAACCAUAAGGAGAUAGUAGGCAUGAGACUGGGGAGAGCUUUGAGGUCGGUGGUCAUGGUAUUUAAAGCUGUGUGAAUCCUGGGUUGCCACCCUCCCCCUCUUAGACUGUUAAGUUUACCAUCAUUUAGUGGGGUCUGUAAGGAAAGGAUAAAUGGGCAAGUGGGGGAAGACAGCCCCAAGCUGUGUGCGCGCUUCGUGUCUCUGAACCUGAAUGAAGGAGAAGGAGGAAUGACCAACAGUGACCUUACUUCUGAUGAGGUCAGAUGAGAAAAAGGCCUCCACUCUGCUGAAAGAGAAGAAAGUCACUGGUUACCUUAAGGAGUGGUAUGGUGGCCUGCUGGUUUGUUUUCUAUGCCAUUAUGAAACUGGUAGGAGAGAGGGGACCUAGCAUCCAGGAGAACAAAGACCUUAUCUACUAAGACGCCGCCGUGGCAUGGGAUGACUCAGGGAACUAGUCCUCAAGGUUCAGGAUGCUCACCCAGUGUCUGCUUUUGAGAAGAAGCACUGACCAGAUGAACCAAGAAUUGGGAGGAGCCCUUCCCUCUGCCAUGCCUUUUGGUCUUAGCUUUCUCUGGGUGCCAGUGUUAUGCUUUGUAAAAUGGAGAUGUUGGGGUUCUGGCCUGGCUUCAUCUGUGAACGCUGGCUGAACCAGUUGUGGUAAGCUGUGAGCCCUCACAGAGCCAUAACCAAAAUUAGGCCUGUGUACAUUUUGUGACAGUGAUCUGUGAUCCAGAGAACAUGGAAACCGCUCAGGGUUUUUAAUCUCAGGGCCUUUCCUUCCCGUUUCUGCCACACGGGUCUGGUGUUGAAAUUAAAAAAAAAAAAAAAAAAA
This is a non-coding RNA of Cricetulus griseus (Chinese hamster), 5114 nucleotides long. The record is from RefSeq and is a predicted model, not a curated record. Lineage: Eukaryota; Metazoa; Chordata; Mammalia; Rodentia; Cricetidae.